CAGGUGGGGGAGAAAGGGAGGAGGAAGGUUCAUCUCUUGAAAACAUAGCAGCAGGAUAAAAGCCAUGUGUACAUUUAAGCUGGAGACAAAGGGUUUUUUUUGGUUGGUUUGCUGGUUGGUUUGUUUGUUUUUUGAGGGCUCAGAGCAGCAUCAUUCCAGACACGCAAUGUUCUUUGUUGUGCUGAACAUUAUCCAGGUUGGCUUCCAACGGUGUUUGUCUCCCUACACCUCAAAUGCCAUGGGAUGGUUCUGCACCUUUCAUGGAAGGCUGGCAGGUUACUCACAGAGAAGGUGUUAGCAUUGACCACAUAUUAACCCACCAACUUCUGCUAUCAAAAAACCAGACAGUGUGUCAGCCAGCAAAUACCAGAUAUUACAGGAUUUUAGGCUUGUGAAUAGCAAAAGUUGUGGGAAGACACAAGCAACUGUAUAUUCCCAUUGUGGUCCACAUUAAACACUCAAAAGACUAAGGAGGUCAAGAAUGCAUUUUGAGUCUCCAAAACACUUCAAUACAUUGAUUAAACAAGCAGUAUUCAGGGUUGUAUGCAAUUCCUAAGUAACAUUUUUAAGGUAAAACCAAAAAAAUAACUUGCAUCCAAACCUUUUCAUCAAAGAAAUUUCAGGUUUCCUUAUUUUAGUAAACGAGAAAAGCAUAUUUUUAAUAUUUUAAGUGUCUAGUAAAACUGCCAAUCUAUUUUCUUUUGUGAAGAUCUGAUAUCUGAUGAAUGGAACAUUUCAGCUUGCUGCGCUUACCCCAGCCCUGCAGACCUAACAGAUCAUGCUUCUCCCAUGAUUGGCUGUCUGUCUUUCCUGUCCAGUGCAGUACAGCACAGACUGGGCUGUGUUUGAAAUGUGUUUGGUUCCGCAGGAAGCACAACAUAAGUCAAAGCAAAGGGAGGCCAAGGUUUCAUAGACAGUUUUGAAAAUAAGGUGCAAGAGUAACCAGCAAAUAACAUGCACUGGGGCAUGACUUACCUGACUAAUUUCAGGGUACACCAGCUGAUCUAUCCAAGCACAGCACCUUCUGUGUCAGCCUGAUUUUUGCGAUUUUCACAGCACAUGAUAAAAGAGAGGCAGCAUCAAACCACAUCUAAGAACAAACCAAUCUAAAGUAUUACUGAGUGUCUCACAAAUCUCAGUUAGAAUUUAAACAUAUGGAACUCAGUUCAUCCCCUGAGUGCUUCUGGACUUCAUGAGGGAGAGAAAAGCCCUAAGAGUCUAAGACUAAGGUGUGAUCAAAUUCAACAUCUGCACUGCAUCAUUUCACAUAACCUAGAAAGAGUUUAUUUUUGAGGAUGGAGCUUAUCAGUAGUCCCUCUUUUCAUUAUUCUUCCUGGUUCUCCCCCUGUGCAUAGUGAGCCUUUUGCGGCAUCAACCACAUGUAUUACAUUGUGGUAGUGGUUAAAUACAAAGCUUAGCAAUCCAUUGAAAAGCACCAGGGUUAUUACUCUGGACUAUUUCAGAAGCAACAGCUGGUGCUGAGAAGUUAAGGGAAUAAAUGCUGCCAACUCAAGUCCCCUUCUUUCCCCCUUGUUUUAUUUCAGCAAAGAAACAAACCCCUCAAACAAACAGAAGUCCUCCUGCUUAACAAACACUUUCUCCCUCAAAAUUGUUUUGAGACAGAGAAAGGCAGUAGUGGCAGCUGCUGGCUGAAAGGAGCAACUGCCUUUUUCCUUCUAAGUGGAAUUAUGGAUGGGUACACCAGAUGACAGAGAAACAAGCACACAUCUGUACUGACUGCCAAGAGGUGGCAUAGAAGCACUGCUGGGACAGCCCGUGACGGAUCACCCAUAACAAAUCAUCUCUGAGCUGCCAGUGGCUUUGGAGUCACAGCUGCUCUUGUCAUCGCUGGGAGGAAUAAAGCUCUACACAGUUGGCUGCAGCUGGCAGUCCUGACCCUCACAGCAGCAGCAAGAAAGAAUCAUCACUCUCUCCCUGUCUCUUUGGAGAUAAAUCUUCCCUCCAUCUAUCCUGCUUUGAAGAGAUGUGAGGACAAGAAAAUAAAAUAAGAUUUAAAACCUCUUUUGAUCAAAAUUGAAGAAGAAUCUCUUGUGAGGUGAUUUCAAGGAAGACAAAGAGGAAUGCUGAUCACAUCUGUUCAUGCUCUGUGUCCCUCUUAGUAUGGCUGGGUUGCUUUUCUCUUGACUGUCAUGUUGAUAGCAAUGGGAAGACUGAAAUGGGAGCAUAACUAGACUGCCUGUCCUAUAUAUAAAUUAACAUUUUAUAUGGUGUUUCACUGUGAUUAUUUGCUUUCAAAUGUCCUCUGCACUUGGAAUAAUAAUUACCAGUGGCUUUUAUUAACUUAUAUAUCCCACAGAUAUUAAAAGGAAUAUGACUAAUGGAAAUAAAAACUCAACAACUUGUGAUAUCUAGAUAACAACUAGUGAAGACUUAGACCAAUUGCAUAUUUUUAACUGCAGUGACUUGUAUUUUAGUUAUCUUAGUCCAUUAAAUAGAUCACCAUGUUUACUUUUCAGUUAUCACCCAGCAUAUUGCUGCAGGCAUAUUUCAAAGAAAAUUUUAAACACUGUUCAAACUACAUAGAUGUAUUUUUCUAAAAAGUUUCUCAGUGUUUGAGAAAAUACAUGUAAUGACACAUCCAACAGUUUUACUAUGCCUAUUUUAGGCAGAACACCUUUGUUUUGAUUUUUAGAUGCCUACUACUCUUCCUUUGAAAUUCAUGUCUCUUGUGAGAUACAGUCUUAUCUCUCAAAAAUAAUUAGGAUUGACAAUAAUCAUGCAAUUGUUAUAAUCUCAGACUAAAAAUGUAUGGUGGGUUGACCCUGGAUGAGCAGUAAAACUCCCACCCAAUUGCUUGCUCACUCCUACUCCCUUCCCUGAAACCAGCUGGAUAGGGGAGAAAAUAAGAAGGCCCAGAUUAAACAAGCUCAUGAGUAGAUAUAAAGAAAUUCCCAAUUCCUGUUGGUAGAAAACUAGACUUUACUCAGGGAAAUUAACUUAAUUUAUUGUCAGUUGAGAUAAGCGUUUGGGCACUGACUUGGAUAACAACAAACAACCAACUUUUGGGGAAGGGAGGGGGCUGCCCCACAAUGGAGCACCUCUGCCUCCUCCAACCUUGCUGUUCCUCUGCUGCUUCUCACUCCUUUUGUUCCCUCCUCUUACCUGUGCCUUAUCUUAAAUAUGUUUCCCCAGAGGUGCCACCAGCUGCGCCCGUGUGUGCUCAGCUGUGUCCUGUGCUGGGUCCAGUUUGAAGCUGUCUGAAACCAUCCUGCAGGGCAGCGCUGGCCCCUUCCCACGGAACCCAGCCCUGCAGCUCCCCCUGCCAGCACCUGGCUACCUGCUCCACAUACAGAAGGUCAUAAUCCAGAUAGGAGGUUACAUGACACUUUUCCAUUGUUUAUCAUUCUUCCCUUUCUGAACUGUUGUCUGUACAUCUCAAGGGAAGCAAUUAAAACUAACGUGGAAAUAGUGGAAAAUGACAGAUAUUUUAGAAAACUUCUCUCCUUUUAGAAGCUGAUUAUUGUCUAAAUAUGCAGUCACACAUUAAGGAAUAGUGAGACUCUCUAGGUGCCGCUAGAUCUAACUAGAAACAUGCAGCAUCACCAGGGGAAGCCCUCAUUCUUUGCUAGGGAGUCUCCUUUCUCCAGUCAGGCAUUUCUCCUCUAAACUACAAAGAUGAAUACCCAGUUAUAAAUAGCAUAUGACUUUUUUUUUUAGAAAGUAAUGGAAAACCAUCAAAAAUACAGGUUUUCGGCAUGUGUUUGAAGCCCACUGGAAUGAAUUAGCCUUGUGCAAACCAACAAAUGGGUCUCCUCCUUAGCCAUUUAAGACUACAGUUAAUUUACAGGGCUUGGGCAUAUUUCUAAGGUACCAGACCUGGGCACGUGUGUGGCUAAAUCACGUGCCCACAAGAGACAGGGAGUCUUCAUCCUCUGGCCCUCACUUCUCCUCCCCUUGUAGGAAAGAAAGAAAAUUGGGCAUGCAGACAGAGAAAGAGCAGGAGUGUCUUCCACACAGGUCAUCAUCUGGCUGAUGGGAGAACCAGGACCUUGCCUAUUCCUCUCCAGACAUUUUGCCCUUGGUCAUUGCAUGUUUCACACAUUUAUCUCUGUAUCUAUCCAAAUUCAUCUGAAGUAGCCUUGUUUGGAACACGUCAUAGAAUGGAGAAUCCAUGAUUUCGUUGAGCUUUUUCCAAUGACAAUAAUUUUCAUCAUUAAGUGUGUCUUGCUUCUUUUUGUACUUGGCUCCAGCCCCCAGAUAUUACUGCUUGUUGUGCUUUUUCCUGCUAAAUUAAAGCACCUUUUGAUACCAGUAUUUUAAUUCAGUUAAGUUUUUUAAGAUAGUGAGAAUUACUUAAUUACACUUUUCUCUGAAAUAAGCUAAGCAGACAGAUCUCUUGCUGUGAGGCAUUUUCUUCCAUAUUUGAAGUAUAGUCUUUCAAUACUCUCCCUUCUUGUAAGACAGCUUAGAAGCCUGGCCAGCAGUAACAAACCCAGUAUUUUAUCAGGUGAAAUUAAUUCCCUCCUCCCACUGCCCUACUUACAAACCUGAGGAUUGUACUAGCUCUUUUUGCAGGAAGAUCUCAGGAUUGCUAACAUCCCCUACUGAGGUGCCUGCUUUAACCUGUGCCUCCAAAUCAGUUCUGCAGCUCUUAGAGCUAAAUUACUGAUUUUGAAGACAUGACCACAUUCCUUGCUCCUAAAUGCACAGCUUUACAUUUGCCUGCAUUAAAAAUGCAUUUAGUCAGCAAUGUUUUAUUGCCUUGUUCUUAGUGCUAUUCGCCUUUCUGGCAGUUUUAUGCCAUGUACAGAUUUGAUCAACCACAGUGCUGUAUCUGCUUUUGAGCCCUCUUUACUGUCAGAUCUAGCACUUGUCUCUGCAAAAUCCCACCAGAAAUGCUCCACUCAGCAAGGAUUCCACAUUGCAGGCUACUUUGUAAGAUUCCUAGUUUCAUUCACAAUCCAUUUAAAGCCCAUCUCAUUAGCAUGAGCUAUUGCCAAUUUCUUUAUUGAAACCCCAGGCACUAUUUUAUCAUAUGCCCUGUGAAUGAAUUUUAUCUACAAAUUGAGGUAAUAACCUCAAAUAAUAGUGUCAAAGGACACCGUGGGAUAACAACUCUUUUUUUUUUUCCCUCCAGAAUAACAUAAAACAUAAAACUACUUUCUCAAGGUUUACAUCCUCAUGCUCCAGUUUUCAACUGACUAGAGUAUAAUCAUUAUUUUGCCCUCAUGGCUGGUCUUCUUCCUGCUGUCUAUAUUCUUUUUCCAAAUAUUGUUAGCUAAGAAUAUUGUCAGGCUCCUAGAAUAUAUAAAGCGGUAUAAAAUACAUUUAAACUGCCCACCAGUUGGAUGGAAUUCUCUUCAGCCUACUUUGUGCCACUCUUGAUGACACACUAGUCUAGUCUCAACUUUUCAAAAGAGAUUGAAACAGGUUGAACUGACCCAGAUCAGUUCUGGUUACUACUGCAAGUCAUGAAUUAUACUGAGGAAUGAGUUUGGUAGGAGACCUAAUUUUGUGCUUGAUUUACCCAUGUAUUUGAGCAUAAGAGGAAGGAAGGAGUUAACUGUGCUUAAGUCUAGCAAUAUGUUCUCCCACAGUAAGUAGUGUGUGAUACCAUCUUGCAUUGCUCAGGGUGACAAAUAGAGCUGGUAGACUCCCACAUUUUUUCUCAAAGUUAGCUCAUGUACUUUGUACCUCAUGUACUUUGGAGAGAGAUGGUUUUCUUUAGAGCUAAAACUGCAGAAUUGGCUCCAGAACUUUGAAUCUCUUGAUACACUGCCUAAUGCCUCUGUACUUUCCUUAUGUGAGAAAGGAAUUUCUUUAGAAGCAUUUAAUUAGGGGACUGUACAGUAUGUUUCAAACUGUAGUAGGAUUCCAUCCAGUUACUGCUGUCCACAAGAGAGAGCUGAGAAGUAUUAAAAUUACAGUCCUUUGGAUCCCAGUUUAUACCAAAUCUAUGUCCUGGGUACUCCUUGUUGCAUCUGUACCAUGAGCAAUCCAGCAUAACAAUUUGCUUUCUCACAUCUCAGCACUGCUCUCGAGACUCAAAAUUCUUUGAUGAUCCACGCUGUCUCUUUCUGGCUGCUUGUGGGUGUUACUGUCUGGUCCUUCAGGGAAUGAGUAUUCCUCCCACUAGUUUCCUGAAACCCACUGCUUUGCAGUCCCAUGUGACUUCUGUUGCAGCAAGGAUCUGUGUCACUUUAUUUUUGUGACAUACUGUAAGACAUUGUUGCAGCCUGCAGUUCUCUGAUCUCUGGCUUUCCAGAGGUUAUAUUCAGUCUCUGCUGCUGCAGUCUGUAUCUUUGUUCAUCACCUGCUCGACAGGAAAGUUCCCCUCUCAGUGAAUUCAGGCAGGCCCAAUGAAUUAGGGUGAACUGUCCUGCUUUCCUUUCCUACCACAGGUGCACCUCAGGAACUGCUGUUUGCUUUGUGGAUGUUUUCAUUCUUGUGGUGUCAUGAAAAGCCCCUCCCCACCCUUGCCACCCCCUCCAUCCUUACCGUCACCAAUAGAUAAAUUCCUUUGAAGCUCUCUGGUAUGCUCAGUGUAACACAGCUGAAAAGCCAAAGUGUUGUGUUGAAGUUGGUUUUAUUUUGAUUUUUUGUACUUUUUGAUUGACUCAA
This is a non-coding RNA of Taeniopygia guttata (zebra finch), 6582 nucleotides long. Lineage: Eukaryota; Metazoa; Chordata; Aves; Passeriformes; Estrildidae. The record is from RefSeq and is a predicted model, not a curated record.